Molecule: long non-coding RNA, 17484 nt
Filed under: Setaria viridis
Lineage: Eukaryota; Viridiplantae; Streptophyta; Magnoliopsida; Poales; Poaceae
Description: long non-coding RNA (SVIR_LNC007217)
Source: RNAcentral
UUCAAUAAUGUUAUUGGUCCCCCAUGUGCAGAAGGGCGCGCGCGUAUGGAAUAACAAGUAGGGACACUGCAACUAAUCUACUCUGCUCGUCCAGUCCCUAGCCUAUAAAUAGAUGCCAUGCUAGCUCUUGUUGUGCUCACAAUUAAUCCGAUUACACACGAGCUUCUCUCCCUGGCCAAGACACAACCAUAGUAUGAUGAAGAACAUGGCACUAGCCGGCAAUGGUAUGAAGAAGUUAAUCCUCGCUGUUCUCUUACUGUGUCUAGUUAUAGGGCAGAUACAAGUGGAAGCUAAGAGCUGCUGCCCAUCCACCACUGCAAGAAAUGUCUACAAUACCUGCCGUUUCACGGGUACAUCCCGUCCAACGUGUGCAAAACUGUCAGGCUGCAAAAUUAUCAGCGGGAACAAAUGCAAGCCCCCUAACGACCACCUCACCCUUGACCCGGACACUGGUAAAUAAUAAAUUUAUCUCACUUGAUUUCUUCGUGAUUUGAGUCGUUAAUGUAUUUUCCAUCUGAUGAAACGUAUUGGUUUUGCAUUGAAGAGGAAGUUAAUGUGCUUAACUUCUGCAAGUUGGGGUGUGCGUCGUCUGUGUGCAACAACAUCAACGCUGGUAAGCAACUUUUGCUCAGACAGAGAAAACAAUAAUCAUUAAUUAGCGGCAGCUAGAAUCCUAUAAUCUAAUAUAUAUAUAUAUAUAUAAUUUUAUCAGCUCUGGGAAAUGAAGAGGCGAACGAUGCCGUUGAGAGUUGCGACCAAGCCUGCUCUAGCUUCUGCAGCGUGCAUGUUGGCAGCGCCACCGUGGUUGCUUAAGCAAAUGCAUCCAACUAGAUCGUCCUUGUGCUGAAUAAUUGGAUAUCGUAUCCACUUAAAGCUGCCUUGUGUAGUACGUCUUUGUGUCUCUCUUUAUAUUCCAAUAAGGUCGGUGAUCUUGAUGCCACACACUCAGAUGUGUGUUCAUCUCCAGAUACUACUCCAUGCUACCUGCCCUUUGUGUUUUGUUCAAUAACUGGGUAUCAUAUCCCAGCCAGUAUGCCGUCUGUUUUGUGUUUGUUUCCUUCUAGUUCCAAAGGGGUCAUCAUGAUGUUACCUUCUUUCAAUAUGGUGCUUUGCAUGACUACUGUUGUAUGGUACCAUCUUGUGGCCAAUAAGUACAUCUUAUCCUAUGACCUUUGCUAUGACCCUUUGCAAAUAAGUAGAAGAUUGUUAUAAGCGUCAAUACUCCGUAUAAAUUGAUCGCUGCUGUGAGUUCCCUUUCAGCUUAUCGUAGGCAUACAUUAUUGCUAGCACGGUAAAGCCAACCAACACGAAUGAUGAAGUAAACGUAGCGGUACUUCUGUAUACCAACACCCUUACUUAAAUGUACCGGUGUCAUUCCCUACUGGCACAUAUAUUCUUAUAUGCUAGCCAGCUUGUAAAAUUAACCAAUUAAAAUAAUUAUUUCAAGAUAGAAAUAACUUAUCGGUUUCUGGAAGCAUGUGUAAUGUGAAUUCAAGGACUCGACGGAAGUUGAAUCACUUCAUCUAUAUUGCUUUCAGUAUUUUGGGUAACUAAAUUUAACAUUUGCACAUACAAAUGUUAAAGUACAAAUGUUAAAUCUAGUUACCCAAGCAGAAUAUGAAGAUAGUUUAUAGUAUAUAUAUACUAUAUAAAUCUAGUUAACAUUUAGUCUAAAUGUUAAAUCUAGUUACCUAAAAUCCUGAAAGCAAAAUGUAUAAAUAUAUAUCUUUUAAGGCAGUAUAAGCUUCGAUUCCUAUUGCUGCUCUGUUAAAUCUCAUCUUUCGUUGUGGCCCAACACUCUAGUAUGCAUGUUGCACCAAGCUUCUUUGAGCCGCUCUGCCCUCUGAUUUUGCUGCGUAGGGGAAUCUUUAUCAGGUUGGGCUACUUCCAGUUGUGCGAUGUAAAGAUUCGUAUUUUCUAGAAGGUAGACAAAAAACUCGCGUUCUCUUAAGGCAACAACCGGAAGAUUCUGCAGCGCACAGGGCAUACCAUUAUUGUAGAAACGACCUUUAGUACCGAUCUCCAACCCCCUUUAAAACUGGUUUUGCAACCGGUACCGUUAUGUCGGUCCUUUAGUACCAGAUCAAAUAAGUACCGGUUGGUAACCAGUAUCAACUUGUUUUGCGGCCAAAAAAAUAAAGAAAAAAACAGUCAGAAGGCUCGCGCACACGCGCAUCACAUGAAAUAUGCGUGUGCGGGGUCCAUGGGAUUCGAACCCAUGAAAUCAAGCUGCGCGCGACCCUUCGUUACCAUCUCACCUACAUAGCGCAUAUGCUUUCCUGAAGUAACCCGUGGAGGAGGCUUUAGUACCGGGUCAUAACACCACCCGGUACUAAAAAUGACUCUUCAGUACCGGGUCAUAACACCACCCGAUACUAGUAUCGGAUGGUGUAAUGACCCGAUACUAAAAGGCCUCUAGGGACCCUCAAAUUUGAACCCGGUACUAAUGCUAAUAUUAGUAGCGGGUCAAAGUGCAGCCAGAACUAAAGCAUGGGAUGAAAGGUCAUAUUUCUAGUAGUGUAUAGUUGUUGUGAAGGACUGACUUGGCUGUCCUCUCUCUUCUCCAUCCCCUUGGUCUUACGCCGCCGCUCGCACGCGAGCCGGUGCCCAACCAGAGGAGUGAGAGCUAGGGGCAGGUUGGGAGGUGGGGAUAGUGACUGGUGGCCAGGGUGAUGGUUGAUCCUGGUGGGGUUAGGGUUUUAGGGUUUUCGAGCUUCCUAUGGUCGGCGAACCUAGAGGAGGAGCUCAACAUCAGCUGCAACCCGCGAUGGUGGUGGUUUGGCCGGCGCCCGAGGCGAGGCAGCGCGGGAGUGCUGCCGGUGGGUUGGUGUUGGCACUCAUUAUUGACAACUAUUUUGUUCAUAAAAUAACACUCAAACUUGCUGCUGCUGCUGCUGCUGCCAUCGCCACCCUAGCCAUAAUAUAAAGGCAAAAUUUGCUAAAGGACAUGCAAAAUGAUGCUAGUUUGCUGGCGGGCAUCGUUGACCUUGUAAUAUGCUACAAGACACUCUAGUUGUGUAUCAAUUUGCUGAAAGACAUUGCUAUGACUAAAAUAAUGUUUCUGGACUGAGUUGGAGAGAGAGAUGGAGUGAAAUGUCUGUUUUGCCCAUGACCCCACUGGUCAGAUCCUUCUUCUUCCACCCUCCUUUGUUCUUUCUUCAACCAUUACCCAGCUCCAGCGUGUUGCAGAUCUACGAGGGUGGCGGCCUGGGGCGAGGGGCAUCGCUCGCCCUUGGAGGAGCGCUGCGAGCGACGGCGCGGGGGCGGCAACAGCGCGUCAGAACCUGACUGUUCGUUAGCUCCUCUCGCUGCUGGGGAAGGAGGGGGAUGGGCCAUGGACGGGGUUCCCUUGAAAACCUCAGCGUCGAGCUCGGGCGGCUACGCGCAGGCAGCACUAGGCUGCUUCACGGGGAGGGGGCGCGGCCAAUCAUUGGCACCCCACUGGUCCAAUGCUGAUGAAGAUGGUGCCAGCGUCGUGUGAGGACAUCUCAUCUCCUCGAGUUCCAUGGCCAGCACAGGUGAGCUGCCGCUACCACAAAACAGAGGUUUCGUGAGAGUCAAAAAACCUUAUGAAAAUAGCUAAAACCAUCAUGAAAAUAAUCCGUGACAUGACACUCUCACGAAAAUCCUCUCACAAAUAUGGUGCCAUGAAAAUACCAUUUUCAUGAGAGUGAACUGUCAUGAUUUUAUUUCGUGAGAGUAUUUCCUAUCAAUGACCUCCACGAAAUACUUUGUGCCACCAGGUCUUCAAGAUCAUUUUCAUGAGAGCUGAACAUCAGGAAAAGUCCGCCACAAAUGUUUUUCUUGGAGCCCCUAACUCUCAUGAAAAUCAUGCGGGCCGCCACGAAAAACAGCAUGACCAAAUGACAAAUUUCAUUUUCAUGUGUUCAUACCGCCAUGAAAAUGGUCAUUUUCAUGAGAGUUGAUGAAACAAAAAAUAGUGCCAUUUUCAUGAGAGUUCAAGCAACCAGGAAAAGACACUAAUAAACAUCCAGAUCCCAUCCAGCACACAUCCAUGCACAUAUAUAACCCACAUAUUGCUCCAGCACACAUCCAUGCAUAUACAAGAUCCAAAUGUUAAUAUAGUAGACAUCCAUGCCUGAACUAGUCUGCCACACAAGUCAUUGAUGCUACAAAUCCUACAAUCGCAGCAUGUGCAUACAAGUCACAGAAUGAGACAAUGUACCCAAAACUAAAAGGUUAGCAUCAACUGUGCUUCAACCAAAGUUGUCAUCCCAACUCUCCUCUUCAUCCAUGCCAUUCUUGUCGUGGCCGUCACUGUCAGUCCCCAUGGCAUUGCCAAUGCUGUGCAUGUCUUGGUAGGAACCUACAUGUGAUGAACUAGUAACCUGCAAAAAGAGCUCAAAGGAUCUUGUUCUCAUAUUGUAGCUGUGAAAUUCUUACAAGUAGUGUUGCAAUCAGUUCACUUUGAACCAAAAGAGCUCAAAGGAUCUUGUCCUAAAAGUUCCUCAUAAAGCUUAUGGGUUUGCUGGUGGAACUGGAAGGGCUUGAUGCAGCAGAUGCCAUUCUGCAAUAGAGAAAAAUUUAGAGAGCAGUACUAGUUAAAAUUGGAUGCAGAAGAUACACAUGAAACUAGUAUUUAUACAAGUCUAUACAAUUAAAAUCUAAGGAGACUUAUCAUCGUUUUCAUGUGUUGUGAAUUAAAAUAAUGAAGGAUACACUGUUAGGUGAAAAUUCAAGAAACAAAAUUUUGCAUAGAGAUAAAGGUCCAACAUUAUUACAAGUUAAGGUAGUUUUAAAUAUCCUUGUAAUCUUCCUUUGGUUUCCUCAACGAUUCGAAGACAAUAACCUUGCUUCUAUCAAUGAUAAUUAUAAGGAGAAUCCAGUGGAAACUGUGUAUUCGUAUUAGAACUACCUAAGGUUAAUUAGGUUAGGAAAGGAAAUUGAAAAUAGAUGGUACCCACACUUACUUAAAGUUGUCGGGCAAUAGUAUGUAAUGCUUGUAAUUCCGUUGCUCCAAGAAUUUGUAUAUGUGGUCCAAUGUAGACUUUGGUUGAUCCCGUAUCUGCUGUUGGUUAAAUAAGUGUUUCUAGCCAUUUCUAGCCAUUAGAACCGGGACUAAAGGGGGCUCUUUAGUACGGGUUGAUAUUACUAACCGGGAUUAAAGAGCCCCCAUUAGAGUUGGUUUUUGGAUGCGGAACUAACAACUCCUUUAGUCCUGAGUACGAAAACAACUGACAUAUUUGUUGCUGGAUGGAAGGUCCUUUCUCUACCGUGAAUAUUGCCAGAAAGAAUUGAAAGAGACUGCUUGCUAAAAAUAUGUCAUAGAUGUAGACCAAGCUACCAAGGAGGUAGACCAAACAUGAUACACACCAUGCGUACCUUGCUGUGCAGACUAUGCAUUGACAAGAUACCCGACCACAUGUUGGCCUCGGUCACAUCAAAAGAAUCAUGUAGGCCACCAAUAAACUACUUGAAGCGGCAUUCCGUAUCGUAUAUGCAUUGCCGGUUCAUCUGCAUUACAUUACAUAAAGCACUAUUAACUAUUUGAAUAAAAUGAACCAAUUUAAAAGUAAUGUGUUGUACUCUACUAUAGAAAGCCCUAUCACUGCCGGAUCCAAAAACAUCAUUGUUAAUGGUGGUUAAGUACCAAAUAUGACGGUCAAUAUUCUCAAGAAUAAUGGAGAAUUAGCAUUUCUUAGACACAUAUUUGGUUUUGAACAAUGUAGUUCCACAUGUCUUUGGAGAUUAUUUGGGUGUGGGUGAAAUAAUACAAAAAUAAGGAGAAAACACACUCCCAUGGCGAAGAAACACAACUCCAACCAAUGAGAGAUAGCCACAGGGGCAGCACACGGAUCCAUGGGCCCACUAACCGCAUCAAACCAUCUUACCAAGGCAGGUAGCACCCACAACCGUCAUUAGGACCCACCUGGAAGUCUACCAAGAAGAAGGUUGCGAGUGGGGCCAGGAGGGGUUCGGUUGAAUCAUCUCUAGCUAGCUCCCCUCAUCCCCAGCUGGUGGGUGGUGGUGGUUGAUGGUGUCCCUACAUCAGUUAGAGGAGAUUCCCCCAAAUAUUCCUCCUGUAAACCACCUCUAUGGACCUAUACAUAGAGGGGUGUGCUCUCCAUUCCAACACACACCACAAGUUGAAUCACUCUCUCCCUCUUUAGUUUCCAAGUUUAUGGAGUUAGGCUAGAGUAGCUCUGCUCAAGGUUCCAAGUCCACUUGGAGUUAAGCAUAUGUCUCUUGUAUCGUUAUUUCCUAAAUUGACUUUAUGCUUAGUUCUUAUAUGCAUGAGUUAGUCUAAUACCCUUGCUAUAUUGAUAUGCUCGGCUUAUAUGCUCGUAUGCUAGUCAUAUACCCUUGCUGUCGUAGUAUAGGCUUAUAUGCUCUCAUGUGUGCCUGUAGACCUUGCUAUAGUAUAUACUUGUUGUGCAUACAUACCAUGUAUAGGCUAGUCGAUCUAUACCAUGGCAUUGGUUCAAUAGCCAUGUUUUUGGUGGCUCCAACCCUAGUCACAAUAGCUCGGGACAGCUGGAGUGUUGUUAAAAAUGCAAGAGUGGUGCUUGGGUUGUUUAGCAUCGUUGGAUAUGGGUUUGCCCCACGGGUUUCUAACGGUAGGCGGCAGCUAGUGACAUCCCUGUCCGUCCUUCGUAAUCCCCCCACAUUCAGGUACGCCAUAAAUGUUCGUAAAUUAGCAGUAACUACGCCGGUACACCUGUAGGGUAUUGUCUCCCUGUAGUACCUUGGUGCAUAGAACUAAGUCCUAUACACUGUGUGUGUAUGUUUACGCUGAUAUGAUCUGUGCAGUAUAUAGGAUGUAUAUAUGAACCUAGAGCUAACUCCUAGUCCGUUCUCCAUAGCUUAGUUAUCUUGAGAUGAUUCUUCUGUAUGUGUAACACUACCCAUCUUAUCAUUAUCCUUGAUCCUGUCUUGUGUAAUAUAUCUACUCAUCCUAUGAUAUACUCAUAUGCAUAGUAAACUAUUUUGACCUACCCGCCUUCCUUUGGGAAAUAUGAUACCUUGGAAUAAUCCUAGGUGAAAUCCUACAACGGUAUAUCCAUGUAAAUGCGGAUUUAUUCAUGACCAUUAAAUAUACCAACAAUCAUCACUGUGAGUUUUGGGCGUCGUUAGUGAAGGGUUGGUAGUGAUGGGCAUCCCCUUCACCAAUGGACCUGGAACCGGCGGUGAUGGCUAUUAUAAAAAAGGGGACACCACCCAGCGUACCCCACGACCCGGCCGGCCGCACCUCCCAUCAUCCCCGCCAGCCGCCCUUCCUUUUCGCCGGCCGAGCAUGGUCCCGGCCUUUGUCCCUACCACCUCGCCUCCACCGCGACCCCCCGCCGAUGCCCUCGUGCCUGGCCCCCCUCAUCUUGCCGGCCACCCUCCCGAUGCGUCCACUGGGGCCCUCGCACCACCAACCGCCCUUGCUUAGAGAGGGAGAGAGAGGAGGGAGGUGAGGCCACGCACCUCGUCCUACACCGCCGCUGUUUCUCCUCGGCCCACCGCGCCUCACCCCACACCACAGCCGCGCCUUGCCAUCUUACCGGCUGUGACGCCUCAUCUCACCGGCCACCGUUCCUCACCCCCACUUCGGUCGUCGCCGCUCCUUGCCCUACCGCUGCUCUUUGCCGCUGCGAAUGAGCGCCGAGUGGAGGAGGAGGGAUGGGGCAGGAGGAGGGCAAGAUCCGGGAGGAAGGGAGAGAUCUCGGGAGGUGGAGAUGGAAGGAUAUGGCGGAAGGGAGAGAUCCAGAGGGAGAGAGCAGGGGAGAGAGGGGGGCGUGUGGGGAGAGAGCGCGUGUGGGGUGGGGCCGGGCUGGUGGGAUGGAAGGGAGAGGGGCUAGACGGGCGCAGUGCAUUCAACUGGAUGAAGUAAAUAUUUUGGAUUCGAGACCCCAGCUUUAUUAUCACCGCUGGUCCGUAGUACCAUCCGGUGCCUGCUCGUAAUUUAAUUUGAAUCUGCGGUGAUGUUUUAUUAUCACCAUCGGAUCAUAUAAAAAUCCGGCGGUUAAAAAUCCGCUGGUUUCGAUGAAAACCGACGGUGAUAGGAUGACUGUGAUAGUCUCUUCUCUAGUAGUGGUAUAUUAGUACCGGCUGCCGGAUGGUGUUGCCGACCAGUACUUCUCCGGGGGCGAUUCAGUACUGCUGUUAGCAAAGCUUGUUCUCUAUGAAUUUGGGGAUGGAAAGCUAGUUCUCUAGUUGUGAUUUGUUACAUAUAUAUCUAUGAUAGUCUAGAAAUUGCAUGUCCUUCGUUGACAUAGUUGAAGCUGCUUCAAGAAUUUACUUCGUGCAGUCGUGCAGCAUAUUGGAUUAUCACCUAGACAGGAUACAUAGGUGAAGCAUUGGAUGUGAUUGUGGCCGAUAAUUAUGCAGGACGCUGUUGCAAUCAACCACCAAGAAGUCUGGAGUGAUGGGGUUGCCUCAUCAAUAAUUUUUAUAUAUGGCUGCAGUAUUAUUAAGCCCACGUCAAUAAUUUUUUGUCCGCACCAUAUAUCGAUGGGGUUGCCUCAUCAAUAAUUCGCGCAACCAGACAAGCUGCAGACUCAAUAUGGUACGAAGCUAGUUGCUCAGCCCACAUGCUCUGAUAUAACAUUGACAUCUGCUGAUCUACAGUAUAUAUGACCAGAAAUAUUGUGCCCACCUCAAUAACUUUCUGAAGUAUCGUGGGGAAGAACCUACGCGUACUAUGCCUCGGAACUAACUGACAUAUCGGCCCAGGCGGUCUAGGCCGAUUGGACUGGCUCUUCCUUGUGGCUUCUCACAUCCCCUUCGUCCCCAAGUAAUUUCAGGUGUUCUGUAGUUUUCUUUUCACUUGCAUCUGAGCCUCCUAUAUCAAUAGCUUCGGGAUAAGAAUGCCUCUUGAUAACCUUCCAAAUCCUCGCUUGAUUCACAUUGAUUCCGAAAUCAUCUUGCCAUAUCUUCAGAGACUUAGGUCCUAAGGCAUCAUGGAGGAUUGCUCGCCAAGAAUGAGCACCAUUGGGCUCCUGAGGACCCUAGGCCGAUCAGCCCGGGCUCUAUAGGUCGAUUGGCCCAGGCCCUCUCUGGGCCUGUUGGCCUUCAUCUUUCUUUGAGUCGACGCUUAUUCAGGGCUUUGUCCAAUUAUAGUCCAUUAUAGUCUAAUUUCCUAAAAAACAGAAUGUCCUCCAAAAUACAAUGCAUAUGUGAAAACAACCCAAUUAUUAGGUAUGAUCAAUAGUUUAGGUAUUAAAUUAAUAUUAUUAUUUAAGAUAAACAGGGGUAAAGGGUGUCAUUAAUAACAAGCGCCAACAAGCGUCCUAGCUGUUCAAUAAAUUUUUUCUAGUACCGAUUGGUAACACUAACCGGUGCUAAUAUGUACCCUUUAUUACCGGUUAUUUUACCAGGUACUAAAGGAGACAAGAGCAUCCUAACAUAAGGUUAAUAUCAUCCAUUUCAUGAGUAAAAUACUAUGAUUCAAAAAUAAUUCAAAUCCCUUAAGACAAUACCUAUCAAAUGAGUAAAUUGUAAAUAGAGUAAUCUUGAUCAAACAAUGUCCUAAUGAAACGGAACACUUCUGGUUCGUGUAGAGCACAAUAUAGAAAACAGUAGGGUAGCUGUAUGAUUGACACGUGGUCCAUUAAUUAUUGAGCCAACACUAUGGACAUGUCUUCAUGAGUAGUGUACUAGUCAUAAUACAUGGUAUGCAGUAGGUGGAGGUAUUGACUUAGCCAUGCUAUGAGCACUUAGUUACAACAAACACUUUGCCAUUAUCGAGCAUCCCAAAUCACUACAAAAUCCAUAGUUUACCAUAUACUACAAAAUCUGAGUUAAAAUAAGAGCAUACACGGAAGAGUCCGAAUGCACGGCACAUUGAAUUACUAGACAAAAUUUAUGGGACAAGGUUUUGGGUAACCGCAUGAAAAAUAUUGGAUUUUACUGAACACUUAGUUACAAUUACCAUGCCCGUGAGCACUUAGUCACCACAAACAUUUAACCACUUUAGAUCAUCCUGAAUCCCUAUAAAUUCUAUACCUUACACCGUACCAUGAAAACGACAAGAACAGAGACAGAUGCGGUGAAAAUCUCCAGAGCAAGCCUGAAAUUAAAAUAAGAGGAGGCAGUCACUAUCGACAGGACACGGAGAUUGCUAGCCAUGACAGAGGAAGACAUGAUAUGAUAUUCACCUCUGAAAUGCAGCGUAGACUAAAUGAAGCACAAUUGCAAGUGAGUGUGGCAGAUAAUGGACCAUCGAGACCAUCGAAUGGUAUGAAGCAUGAUUAUCACCUAGACAUGAUAUCCUAGACAGGACGGUGAAUUGUAAAAAGAGUAAUCUUGAUCAAAGAAUGUCCUAAUGAAACGGAACAUUUUUGGUACGUGUAGAGCAAAAUAUAGAAAACAGUAGAGUAGUUGUACGAUUGAAACUGCAUCCAUCGACGUGGUGCAUGAAUUGUUGAGCCAACACUGUGGACAUGUCUUCAUGAACACCAUCUAGUGAGGACAGCAUGCAGAAAAAUAUAAAAACAUGUCAUAGGGAGGCAGACCAAUCUUGCGAGGUAGACGAAACGUGAUACACGAUCUGCCUACCUUGUCGUGUGGAUACCCCAAGUGAAGAUGUCAUAGAGGUGCAGACCAAGCUAGCAAGGAGGUAGAUGAAACGUGAUACACGGCCUGCCUACCUUGCCGUGGAUAUUAGUCCUGAUAUCAUUCUAUUGUUCAAGGAAUAACACUCAAUGCUGCUGCUGCUGCUGACCUGGCUCCAUAAAGUUAUAUUCCUCUAGCCGCUUGCACUAACUUUAUCUGAAGUAUUAUUCUCUCUGCACUGUAUAUAUGGUUACGGAGUUUGCUGGAGUAUCCGGGGGGAAGAACCUACAUAAUAUGUCUUGGAACUAACUGACAUUGAUUCACAGACAAGGUGCUGUUGUUGACAUGGUACAGUAAAUAAUAUAGUUUACCAUAUACCGUAUACCAUUAUAUGUUAGCUAAAAUAAGAGCAUAACAUGUCGCAGGAGUCCAAAAGCACCGGUUGAGGACCAGGUACAUUAAAUUACUAGAAAACAAAAGGGGACAAGGUUUAGGUAGCCACAUGAAAAACAUUUGAAUUUACUGUACCAUGAACACUUAGUUACCAUGCCGGGAGCACCUAGUUAACACUAACAUUUAGCCACUUUAGAUCAUCCCGAAACACCAAUGACCCUCAAUAGCGACAAAUUUUGGUUUAAAUGCCGUCACCAAUGAUCCUCAAUAGUGACGUGUUUAGGUUUAAAUCCCAUCACUAAUAACCCUUGGUAGUGACGUGUUUUGGUUUAAAUCUCAUCACCACUGAUCCUCACUAGUGACGUGUUUUUAGCAACACACGUUAUGAAUGACUUGUCAUUGGUGACAUGUUAAACGCGUUAUCUCAAUGGCAAAUCAAUGGUGACGUGUUUAAAAAAACAUGUCACUGUGAGAGUUAUUGGUGAAGGGUAAUUAAAAUGCAUCACUAAUUUUGUAGCAUUAGUUAUGAUAUAAUUUUGUAACGCAAAAAUCUACCAUAGUAAUGAGGUUUAGAGCCAUCACUAAUGUGGGUUUCUUAUCGUAGUGAUGCAAGCUCUACAAGGUGCUGUUGUUGCCAUUUUAAAGCAUCCCAAAUGACUACAAGAGUCCGGUUGAGGACUAAACAAAUUGAAUUACUAGAACCAAAUGUAUGUCCAGAACAAAGAAAGGGGUCAAGGUUUGGGUAACCGCAUUAAAAACAUUGAAUUUUACUGUACCAUGAACACUUAGUUACCAUUACCAUGCCUUGAGCACCUAGUUACCACAAACAUUAAUUUAGCCACUUUAGAGGUUCCACAAUCACUAUAAAUAAUAUACCAACACCGUACCAUGAAAACAUCAAGAAGAGAGACGGGUACAUGGACCACCAUCAAGUGAGUAGUGACAGCACGCACAAGAAUACCCGGAACCUUUUAGCUUGUCUGUAGUGAUCUGUUUUCUUCGCCACAAAUAAUGAAAGAGGCUGACCAAGCUAGCAACGAGGUAGAGCAAACGUGAUACACGUAGGUUUCAUUCAAGACAUCCAUGUAAGAUUCAUUCAAAACAUUCAUGGAAAUUUCUUGUAAGUUUUCAUGUAAAUUUCAUUCAAGACAUUUGUUAGAGGUGUUGUAUAUACACUUAACGUACAUAUAUCUAUGAUUUCAUGGUUGUUAGUGAUGGCAGAUGAGGAGCAUGCAAGGUGUUUAAUGGAGCAGAUUAUUGCUAGUGGUAGUGGCUCCAACCUGCCCGUAACGUACACCGACGAAGAGGGCAGCCAGGCGGACAUGUUCCUCAACAUGUCCGGUGAUGGCAAUGAAGAGCCCGAGCAAAACCUUGCCGUGACGGAAGGUUCCAUCGAGGUAUAUAUCAUUUCCAUUAUUUUACCCCAUCUAUAAUUUCAUAUUCAUUAUUACUAUGUGCUAAUUAAUGAAUCUUGAACCGUUAGUCCUCUAGAUCAACGAACCGAAAUAAGCCCCGAGGUCUUACAAAGAUAAUGCAGGGAAGGCUUCACAUCAUGGAAGUCACAGAAGAGGGCACAUCGGUUGCUCCCGAACAUGUGGCAAGAAAGUACGUGAGUCAAACCGGGGCAAUCGUAAGGGACAACAUGCCCAUCAGCAUCAGGGAAUGAAAGAGCAAUAGAAAUGAUCUAUACGCACCCCCGGAUACACAAAAGGAUAUGUUGUGGGCAAAUAUCAAGAAACACUUCACAUUUCCCAAAGGAUAUGUUGAAAAAUAUGUGAAAGCGUGGAUGUUGAAGAAGAUGGCCACCCAAUUCCAGACAUUCAAGAAGAUGUUGGAUGCCAACUUCAUCAAGAAGGGUCGAACUCCGGGUUUCAAUGAGUGGCCAAAGUUAAGGGACCACUGGGAGUCGUUUGUCGAAUACAAGACGAGCGAAGGUGGUGCGAGUAAGGUUCACAUCAAUGUUGCCAAUGCUAGCAAGGAGUACCAUCAUCAUCUAGGGCGACGUGGUUACAGCUCUGCAAUUCCCAGAUGGCGCAAGAUGGAACAAGACCUGAUCGAUCGGGGUAUCGUACCAGCAACUCUUGACUGGAUCGAUUGAAAAAUUGGUAUUAUGCUCAUGAAGGCAAUCUGAGCCAAGAGGAUCCGACAUUGGUCUUCAAUAAAACAAUACGUCAGAAGGUCGGAAGGCUUAUUAGGAACAUUGAAGAUGCUAAAGCUGGGAGGUUCAAGGUGGAUAGAGAGAAUGAUGAACUCACAUUGGCCCUCGGGACUGUCAUCUCUAGCACUUCCAGCUCCAGGACUAUCGUCACCACCGGGACCGUCGCUUCCUGCUCGAUCACAGUCUCCAUCUCCAGCACAUCCUGGUGGUGCGAGCGACGACGACAACAACACCCCUCCCUGCCCACCAUUGCCGGGACUAAGACCCGCAUUGAGUAAGGAACCUGCAACACCACUGAAGAAGUCGCGACCACCACCUUCAAGGCAAGUCAGCAAAAGAAGAAAGCAGAGAAGCCUAAACCCACUGAGAAGCCAGCGACUGAUAUGACCGAUGCGGAAAGAUGGAAGGCACUCAAAGAAGAAUGCAGGGAGUGGUUCAGCGAAGGCGAAGGUGAGAAAGUCGUAUGAAUCGAAUUCAAGGAUAUAUAUGAAGUGAACCAUCAGGAUGCCCUUGAUGUCUCUCUCAUCAGCGCCUAGGUUCUGUAAGUGUAUGUUUAUCUAUAAGUAAAUUUUGGCUCAUAUCAUUAUUUUUUUUGCGUGCGUCACCCUACUAACUUCGUCUUCCAUUUUAUGUAGGAUGCUAAUUCAGACGUGCCGCAUAGAAGCGUACUUCCAUGUUGGAUUCAUGGAUCCAUCCCUAGUUAACCAAAAGCCGAUACGGAAGUAGCUAGAGAAAACGUUGGAGGUGGUGUACAACCUCCUGGACAAACUAAACUACAGAAUAGGGGCAAUAUGUGAGGGUCUUGUAGGAUUCCUAGUGGACGAGGUGAUAAAUCCAUAAGGAGAAUAUCAUUCCAACGGACGAGCAUUAGACACACUGAGCAACACCUAGAUGGGAGGAUCCUAGGAAUGACCUCGACAGAUUUUGGUAUAAAUAGUAAUUGUGUAAAUACUAGUUUGAUUUGUAUAGGAAUAUACUAAGAAUUGUAUAUAUAGUAAUUGUACAAAUACUAGUUUGAUUUGUAUGAAUACUAGAUUGAUUUUAUUAUAAAAAAGUUUUAAGUCGUACGUGCAUGCGCCUACAAAGGCGCGGAUGCCUUUUAAUCCCAGUCGGAAAAACAAACUGGUACUAAAGGGGCUCGUGCCGCACCUGGCAUGACCACCCCUUUAGUCCCGGUUGAACGACCCAGGACUAAAGAUCUCCGCGUCUCAAAAAUUUUAUCUCGGAUGCUUUUUAGAGAGAUUUGAGGCCUAUCAACCAAGACUAAUAUCGAGUUUUCUACCAGUGAAACUAACUAACGUUCACAUGGUUUUGACAUUCACCUGCCAUUUGGUGUAGACAAGGGCACCCUAACAUAUGGUUAAUAUUAUUCUUGAAAGAAAAUCCUUUGAUUCAAAAUACUUCAAACCUAAUAAUACAAUACUUCUCACAUCUGAAAAAUAUGAGACGGCCCGACAGUAUUCUAAUCGACGCAAUAAUAUUUUGAGGGCAGCACUACUACAGCGACCCUCAUUCGUGCCGGUGCUGGGACUCCUAUCACGACCCUGAUACAAAUGAGGGUACAUUAUUGGUGCCAGUGCUAGAACAGCCACGAAUAACUUGCUAAACGUGCUGUUACACUCACUACAGGGACCAAGAAGGUAGAUAAAUUACACGACAUAGCCUUGGUUGCCGUGGAAGCGCCAAGAAGGGAGACAAAUUACAGGGACCACACCAUCAAGUAGAUAGUGACAAUAUGCAAAAGAAUACCCGCGCCUGUUAGCAUGUGAACUGACCACACCACGAAACGUGAUACACGGCAAGCGUACCAAGGCCUUGCUGUGCAGACUAUGCAUGGACAACACAUGGUACCUGACCGCUUUUGGCCUCAGACACAUCGAAAAACUGCAUCGUUCCACGUUGUACAUCCAUUGCUAGUUUAUCUAUAUUACAUAAUAUAUUAUUAGCUAUUUGAAUAGAAUGAACCAAUUAAAAAAUUGCGUUGUAUUUUUAGUACCGGCUGCAGGAUGGUGUUACCAACCAGUACUAAUUGGCCUGUAGGAGUGAUGGUUAUUAGACUUGGUACUGUUGUUAGCAUCAUUAACCUAAUUGUGCGCCGUAUGAAUUUGGGGAUGCAAAGCUAGCUCUCUAUGAAUGUGAGGGAUGGAAAGCUAGUUCUCUAGUAGUAAUUAUAUAUAUGACAGUCAAGAAAUCGAACACUAUGCUGCUACGAGUCACCAUCAUUUCCUUCAUUGACAAUCUGACAUAGGUGAAGCUGCUUCAAUAAUUUCCUUCGCGCAGUCGUGGAGCUUAUUGGAUUAUCACCAGGACGGGACACGGAAAUGGCCAGCAAUGAAGCUGAUUGCCGUCUGAGGAAGACUACAUACUUACCUAUGAAAUGAAGCGAUUGCAUAGACUAAUGAAGCAUUGCAUAUUUGCAUGUGAGUGUGGCAGAUAAUUCUGCAGGACAUGAUUGCAAUCCACGCACCAUCGAGAAGACUGGGGCGAUGGGGUUGCCUCAUCAAUAAUCACGUGGAUGCAUGCAUGCAUGUUCCCGCAACCGGACAAGGGUCUGAUAUAUGGCUAUAGUAUUACUGAGCCCACAUCAAUAAUUUCCACUGGUGUAUCGUGUGGGAAGAAUCAACAUACUACACCUCGAGUUCUUGGAACUAACUGACGUUCACAUGCAACCUCCACAAGGUGCUGUAUGCUUUUGACAUUCACCUGCCAGUUCGUGUAGAGAAGGACACCCUAACGUAUAGUUAAUAUUAUCCAUUUCAUGAGUAAAAUACUGUGAUUCAAAAAUACUUCAAAUCCCUUGAGACAAUACUUCUCACUUGACUAACCACUAACCAACCCCGAAACCCUAACUCAACUCCGAACCCUAACCCCUAACGGCAUAACCACUCCGUUUUGCCGGCGAGAUGGAGGAACUGGCUGGAAGGUAGAGAGGGCAGCGGUCCAGGGUUGAAAACGACGGGCGAGCGCAGUAACAUGUGGAGGAGGAAGUGCCACGUAUUCGUUCACCGCUAUUGGGCAGCGACACACGACACGCCCAAUAAGAUCUUCGCACGGUAGAAGGACGUCAUGUAUUCAAUAAUGUUAUUGGUCCCCCAUGUGCAGAAGGGCGCGCGCGUAUGGAAUAACAAGUAGGGACACUGCAACUAAUCUACUCUGCUCGUCCAGUCCCUAGCCUAUAAAUAGAUGCCAUGCUAGCUCUUGUUGUGCUCACAAUUAAUCCGAUUACACACGAGCUUCUCUCCCUGGCCAAGACACAACCAUAGUAUGAUGAAGAACAUGGCACUAGCCGGCAAUGGUAUGAAGAAGUUAAUCCUCGCUGUUCUCUUACUGUGUCUAGUUAUAGGGCAGAUACAAGUGGAAGCUAAGAGCUGCUGCCCAUCCACCACUGCAAGAAAUGUCUACAAUACCUGCCGUUUCACGGGUACAUCCCGUCCAACGUGUGCAAAACUGUCAGGCUGCAAAAUUAUCAGCGGGAACAAAUGCAAGCCCCCUAACGACCACCUCACCCUUGACCCGGACACUGGUAAAUAAUAAAUUUAUCUCACUUGAUUUCUUCGUGAUUUGAGUCGUUAAUGUAUUUUCCAUCUGAUGAAACGUAUUGGUUUUGCAUUGAAGAGGAAGUUAAUGUGCUUAACUUCUGCAAGUUGGGGUGUGCGUCGUCUGUGUGCAACAACAUCAACGCUGGUAAGCAACUUUUGCUCAGACAGAGAAAACAAUAAUCAUUAAUUAGCGGCAGCUAGAAUCCUAUAAUCUAAUAUAUAUAUAUAUAUAUAAUUUUAUCAGCUCUGGGAAAUGAAGAGGCGAACGAUGCCGUUGAGAGUUGCGACCAAGCCUGCUCUAGCUUCUGCAGCGUGCAUGUUGGCAGCGCCACCGUGGUUGCUUAAGCAAAUGCAUCCAACUAGAUCGUCCUUGUGCUGAAUAAUUGGAUAUCGUAUCCACUUAAAGCUGCCUUGUGUAGUACGUCUUUGUGUCUCUCUUUAUAUUCCAAUAAGGUCGGUGAUCUUGAUGCCACACACUCAGAUGUGUGUUCAUCUCCAGAUACUACUCCAUGCUACCUGCCCUUUGUGUUUUGUUCAAUAACUGGGUAUCAUAUCCCAGCCAGUAUGCCGUCUGUUUUGUGUUUGUUUCCUUCUAGUUCCAAAGGGGUCAUCAUGAUGUUACCUUCUUUCAAUAUGGUGCUUUGCAUGACUACUGUUGUAUGGUACCAUCUUGUGGCCAAUAAGUACAUCUUAUCCUAUGACCUUUGCUAUGACCCUUUGCAAAUAAGUAGAAGAUUGUUAUAAGCGUCAAUACUCCGUAUAAAUUGAUCGCUGCUGUGAGUUCCCUUUCAGCUUAUCGUAGGCAUACAUUAUUGCUAGCACGGUAAAGCCAACCAACACGAAUGAUGAAGUAAACGUAGCGGUACUUCUGUAUACCAACACCCUUACUUAAAU